UUUCAUGGAAGAAGUAGGUCUGAAGGAGGACAGGAAUUUUGUCUUCUUGUAUGGAUCUGCGAAGUACCACGUACCCCUGUGAUGCUCAGGGAGGAGCCAGGG
Molecule: non-coding RNA, 102 nt
Organism: Chelonoidis abingdonii (Abingdon island giant tortoise)
Lineage: Eukaryota; Metazoa; Chordata; Testudines; Testudinidae
Source: RefSeq, a predicted model, not a curated record